RNAcentral lists this ribosomal RNA (468 nucleotides) under Shigella boydii. RNAcentral describes it as "bacterial SSU rRNA". It matches the Rfam family "Bacterial small subunit ribosomal RNA", at positions 1 to 465 of the family's 1533-position model. The record is from RNAcentral. Lineage: Bacteria; Pseudomonadati; Pseudomonadota; Gammaproteobacteria; Enterobacterales; Enterobacteriaceae.
AAAUUGAAGAGUUUGAUCAUGGCUCAGAUUGAACGCUGGCGGCAGGCCUAACACAUGCAAGUCGAACGGUAACAGGAAGCAGCUUGCUGCUUCGCUGACGAGUGGCGGACGGGUGAGUAAUGUCUGGGAAACUGCCUGAUGGAGGGGGAUAACUACUGGAAACGGUAGCUAAUACCGCAUAAUGUCGCAAGACCAAAGAGGGGGACCUUCGGGCCUCUUGCCAUCGGAUGUGCCCAGAUGGGAUUAGCUUGUUGGUGGGGUAACGGCUCACCAAGGCGACGAUCCCUAGCUGGUCUGAGAGGAUGACCAGCCACACUGGAACUGAGACACGGUCCAGACUCCUACGGGAGGCAGCAGUGGGGAAUAUUGCACAAUGGGCGCAAGCCUGAUGCAGCCAUGUCGCGUGUAUGAAGAAGGCCUUCGGGUUGUAAAGUACUUUCAGCGGGGAGGAAGGGAGUAAAGUUAAUA